GUAGGUGGCAAGCGUUGUCCGGAAUUAUUGGGCGUAAAGCGCGCGCAGGCGGUUCUUUAAGUCUGAUGUGAAAGCCCACGGCUCAACCGUGGAGGGUCAUUGGAAACUGGAGAACUUGAGUACAGAAGAGGAAAGCGGAAUUCCACGUGUAGCGGUGAACUGCGUAGAGAUGUGGAGGAACACCAGUGGCGAAGGCGGCUUUCUGGUCUGUAACUGACGCUGAGGCGCGAAAGCGUGGGGAGCAAACAGGAUUAGAUACCCUGGUAGUCCACGCCGUAAACGAUGAGUGCUAAGUGUUAGGGGGGUUUCCGCCCCCCUUAGUGCUGCAGCUAACGCAUUAAGCACUCCGCCUGGGAGUACGGCCGCAAGGCUG
RNAcentral lists this ribosomal RNA (373 nucleotides) under uncultured organism. RNAcentral describes it as "partial 16S ribosomal RNA". It matches the Rfam family "Bacterial small subunit ribosomal RNA", at positions 527 to 896 of the family's 1533-position model. The record is from RNAcentral.